Molecule: ribosomal RNA, 425 nt
Filed under: Xenophrys serchhipii
Lineage: Eukaryota; Metazoa; Chordata; Amphibia; Anura; Megophryidae
Description: partial 12S ribosomal RNA
Rfam family: Bacterial small subunit ribosomal RNA (bases 1-341)
Source: RNAcentral
UACCUCCGUCGUCAACUAACCCCACGAGGGAGAAAGUUGGUUUAAUGGCUUAUCACCAAAAAGUCAGGUCAAGGUGCAGCGAAUGAGUUGGGAAGAAAUGGGCUACAUUGUCUACCAGUAGACCACACGAAAAAUCAUUAUGAAAUCUGAUUGGAAGGCGGAUUUAGCAGUAAAAAGAGACUAGAGUGCUCUUUUUAAGUUGGCCCUGGGGCGCGUACAUACUGCCCGUCACCCUCUUCGACUCUGUACUUCAUAUUUACAUAAUACCCCAAAAAGAGAAAAGAAGAGGCAAGUCGUAACAUGGUAAGUCCACCGGAAGGUGGACUUGGAACAAAAUGUAGCUUAAUAACAAAGCCCCUCGCUUACACCGAGUUGAUAUCUAUUUAACCAGAUCAUUUUGACGCCCCUAAUCCAGCCCACAUCCC